RNAcentral lists this ribosomal RNA (497 nucleotides) under uncultured bacterium. RNAcentral describes it as "partial 16S ribosomal RNA". It matches the Rfam family "Bacterial small subunit ribosomal RNA", at positions 28 to 507 of the family's 1533-position model. The record is from RNAcentral.
GAUGAACGCUGGCGGCGUGCCUAAUACAUGCAAGUCGAGCGAACAGACGAGGAGAUUGCUCCUCUGACGUUAGCGGCGGACGGGUGAGUAACACGUGGAUAACCUACCUAUAAGACUGGGAUAACUUCGGGAAAACGGAGCUAAUACCGGAUAAUAUAUUGAACCGCAUGGUUCAAUAGUGAAUGACGGCUUUGCUGUCACUUAUAGAUGGAUCCGCGCCGCAUUAGCUAGUUGGUAAGGUAACGGCUUACCAAGGCGACGAUGCGUAGCCGACCUGAGAGGGUGAUCGGCCACACUGGAACUGAGACACGGUCCAGACUCCUACGGGAGGCAGCAGUAGGGAAUCUUCCGCAAAGGGCGAAAGCCUGACGGAGCAACGCCGCGUGAGUGAUGAAGGUCUUCGGAUCGUAAAACUCUGUUAUUAGGGAAGAACAAAUGUGUAAGUAACUAUGCACGUCUUGACGGUACCUAAUCAGAAAGCCACGGCUAACUACGUG